CCCGCUCAGAAACUACAAGGAAGUUGACGGGGCCCGCACAAGCGGAGGAGCAUGUGGUUUAAUUCGAUGAUACGCGAGGAACCUUACCUGGGCUCGAACGUAAGAUGACUGUAGGUGAAAGCUUACAUCUCUUCGGAGCAUUUUACGAGGUGCUGCAUGGUUGUCGUCAGCUCGUGCCGUGAGGUGUCGGGUUAAGUCCCAUAACGAGCGCAACCCCUACCUUUAGUUGCCAUCAGGUAAUGCUGGGGACUCUAAAGGAACUGCCUACGCAAGUAGUGAGGAAGGCGGGGAUGACGUCAAAUCAGCACGGCCCUUACGUCCAGGGCUACACACGUGCUACAAUGGCCGAUACAGAGGGCAGCUACCUGGUGACAGGAUGCAAAUCUCCAAAGUCGGUCUCAGUUCGGAUCGGAGUCUGCAACCCGACUCCGUGAAGUUGGAUUCGCUAGUAAUCGCGCAUCAGCCAUGGCGCGGUGAAUACGUUCCCGGGCCUU
Molecule: ribosomal RNA, 494 nt
Filed under: uncultured Sphingobacteriales bacterium
Lineage: Bacteria; Pseudomonadati; Bacteroidota; Sphingobacteriia; Sphingobacteriales
Description: bacterial SSU rRNA
Rfam family: Bacterial small subunit ribosomal RNA
Source: RNAcentral